AAUCAACGCUGGCGGCGUGCCUAACACAUGCAAGUCGCACGAGAAAGGGACUUCGGUCCUGAGUACAGUGGCGCACGGGUGAGUAACACGUGAAUCAUCUACCUUCGAGUGGGGAAUAACUGAGAGAAAUCUUAGCUAAUACCGCAUAAUACCUACGGGUCAAAGCAGCAAUGCGCUUGAAGAGGAGUUCGCGGCAGAUUAGUUAGUUGGCAGGGUAAUGGCCUACCAAGACGAUGAUCUGUAUCCGGCCUGAGAGGGCGCACGGACACACUGGAACUGAAACACGGUCCAGACUCCUACGGGAGGCAGCAGUGGGGAAUUUUGCGCAAUGGGGGAAACCCUGACGCAGCAACGCCGCGUGGAGGAUGAAAUCCCCUGGGAUGUAAACUCUUUCGAUCGGGAAGAUAAUGACGGUACCGAGAGAAGAAGCCCCGGCUAACUUCGUGCCAGCAGCCG
RNAcentral lists this ribosomal RNA (456 nucleotides) under uncultured bacterium. RNAcentral describes it as "bacterial SSU rRNA". It matches the Rfam family "Bacterial small subunit ribosomal RNA", at positions 32 to 517 of the family's 1533-position model. The record is from RNAcentral.